RNAcentral lists this long non-coding RNA (309 nucleotides) under Pogona vitticeps (central bearded dragon). RNAcentral describes it as "lncRNA (ENSPVIG00000011748.1)". Lineage: Eukaryota; Metazoa; Chordata; Lepidosauria; Squamata; Agamidae. The record is from RNAcentral.
AUGCUGGCUGUGGAUGAUGGGAGCUGUCAUGCUGCCUGUCUGGAGGGAGAUCACCCUGCUGUUCUCCAAAAACUGAGACCUCAAGCAGCUGAAGCAGCAGUCAGCCCCUUCACGAGUGUUGCUGUCCGCAGGAAGCCAGGACAGAGUGUGGAAACAGAUGGGAUGCAUUAAAUGAAAAAGAGAGAGAGACAGACAGAGGAAGAGCCAGCGUAUUUAAAUAGAACAGACUGGCUGGCUGGCGACUGAUGACUGAUGAACAGAAAAAGUUUGUUAAUUGACUGAAGGGGGGGCGGGGGAAGGCCUAUGGCG